RNAcentral lists this ribosomal RNA (431 nucleotides) under uncultured Paraglomus. Its description in RNAcentral is "eukaryotic LSU rRNA". It matches the Rfam family "Eukaryotic large subunit ribosomal RNA", at positions 1 to 428 of the family's 3401-position model. Lineage: Eukaryota; Fungi; Glomeromycota; Glomeromycetes; Paraglomerales; Paraglomeraceae. The record is from RNAcentral.
GGCCUCAAAUCAGACAAGAGUACCCGCUGAACUUAAGCAUAUCAAUAAGCGGAGGAAAAGAAACUAACAAGGAUUCCCCUAGUAACGGCGAGUGAAGCGGGAACAGCUCAAAUUUUAAAUCUGGCUGCUUUGUAGUCCGAGUUGUAAUUUGAAGGAGUCUUGCCGCUGGCAAAACGAUGGCACAAGUCCUCUGGAACGGGGCAUCGUAGAGGGUGAGAAUCCCGUCUCUGGUCAUCACGCGCUGGCAUACGGCAGGCAUCCGAAGAGUCGAGUUGUUUGGGAUUGCAGCCCCAAAUGGGUGGUAAACUCCAUCUAAGGCUAAAUAUUGGCGAGAGACCGAUAGCGAACAAGUACCGUGAGGGAAAGAUGAAAAGAACUUUGGAAAGAGAGCUAAACAGUAUGUGAAAUUGUUGAAAGGGAAACGAUUGAAG